UGGGCAACCUGCCCCUAGCUCUGGGAUAACUGCGGGAAACUGUAGCUAUACCGGAUGUGACACGAGACUGCAUGGUCUUCGUGUGGAAAGAUUUAUCGGCUAGGGAUGGGCCCGCGGUCUAUCAGCUUGUUGGUGAGGUAAUGGCUCACCAAGGCGACGACGGGUAGCCGGCCUGAGAGGGUGACCGGCCACACUGGGACUGAGACACGGCCCAGACUCCUACGGGAGCAG
Molecule: ribosomal RNA, 231 nt
Filed under: uncultured bacterium
Lineage: Bacteria
Description: partial 16S ribosomal RNA
Rfam family: Bacterial small subunit ribosomal RNA
Source: RNAcentral